RNAcentral lists this ribosomal RNA (241 nucleotides) under Pseudoalteromonas porphyrae. Its description in RNAcentral is "partial 16S ribosomal RNA". It matches the Rfam family "Bacterial small subunit ribosomal RNA", at positions 1 to 236 of the family's 1533-position model. Lineage: Bacteria; Pseudomonadati; Pseudomonadota; Gammaproteobacteria; Alteromonadales; Pseudoalteromonadaceae. The record is from RNAcentral.
UUUAAUUGAAGAGUUUGAUCAUGGCUCAGAUUGAACGCUGGCGGCAGGCCUAACACAUGCAAGUCGAGCGGUAACAGRGAGUAGCUUGCUACUUUGCUGACGAGCGGCGGACGGGUGAGUAAUGCUUGGGAAUAUGCCUUUUGGUGGGGGACAACAGUUGGAAACGACUGCUAAUACCGCAUGAUGUCUACGGACCAAAGUGGGGGACCUUCGGGCCUCACGCCAAAAGAUUAGCCCAAGU